Molecule: long non-coding RNA, 928 nt
Organism: Chenopodium quinoa (quinoa)
Lineage: Eukaryota; Viridiplantae; Streptophyta; Magnoliopsida; Caryophyllales; Amaranthaceae
Exons: 2
Source: RefSeq, a predicted model, not a curated record
CACAACCGGAGACUAAAUUAAGCACAAAUAAAACCUUGUCUUUCGAAAGAGUACGAAAAACCUUGUUUUUCGAAGGAAAUCGAAAAAACCUUGUCUUUCAAAGGAGAUAUAUAAACCCUUUUUUUCGAGAGAGACAUUAUUGUAACCUAAAACAAAAGGCUUAAAAGAAAGUAAAGAUUGGGGCUUUCCACCAGUGAAAUCCGAUGGAAGCCCCUUUAAGACAAUGAAGACUAGGUUUAGGAGAGAGAAGAGAGAAAAGAAAGCUAGGGUUUAGAAUUAUGUUUUUUUUUUAUUUGUUUUAGGGCUAUAACAUUAUAAGAUUUGGUUUGUCUAAAUUUUUUUAAUCUGGUAGAUCUUUAUAUGAAUAAGUGAAAAGAAUGAAACUUUAUAUGGUAUCCCCACGACACGUGCCUCAUAUAUUACUUAAUACACCCAAUUUUCCUCCAAUUAACUCCAAUAAAAACCCCUGCUUCUCUCUCCUUCCUCUUUGUCGUUCAAUUGGAAAAAAAAUUGCAGAACAAAUUCCUCUAAAGCUGUUUGAAUAUGGGAUUUCAAGGUGUCAACCAAGCAUUUCAUCAAUUUCAAACCAGGACGGAAAUUCUACGCUUGUAAGUUCUACAAACAUGAAACCGGUCAAAGGGGAUGCAACACGUUUGAGUAGCUUGAUGAAGACAUUCUUGACUAGCAAAGGGUUGUCACUAAUGUCUUGAUUGCAGAAAGGAGCAAGUAAGCCACUGAUUUAAGCAUUUUGAAGGCCAAACUUAUCACUAACAGAGCAUGAGAAGCAAAGGUUGUAUGAAGAAUCGGACAAAGUAAAGAAGAAAAUGCUCAAGAAAAAUGAUUGACCCUCAAUUUGCUAGAAGAUGACAGAGCUUUAUUCUUCCCUUUAUAUCUGACCAUGGCAGCAAAUGGCAAUUAAAAAAAAAAA